AAGAUGGCGACCGGCGCACGGGUGAGUAACACGUAUCCAACCUGCCGAUAACUCCGGAAUAGCCUUUCGAAAGAAAGAUUAAUACCGGAUAGUAUACGAAUAUCGCAUGAUAUUUUUAUUAAAGAAUUUCGGUUAUCGAUGGGGAUGCGUUCCAUUAGUUUGUUGGUGGGGUAACGGCCCACCAAGCCUUCGAUGGAUAGGGGUUCUGAGAGGGAGGUCCCCCACAUUGGAACUGAGACAUGGUCCAA
This 248-nucleotide ribosomal RNA is filed under the name uncultured bacterium. Its description in RNAcentral is "partial 16S ribosomal RNA". It matches the Rfam family "Bacterial small subunit ribosomal RNA", at positions 85 to 334 of the family's 1533-position model. The record is from RNAcentral.